UCGAAAGGUGGCUGAUUUAAAAGGUGACGGGUUGUAGCCCUGUUUAUGGAUUUUUCCUCUUUUGAU
RNAcentral lists this transfer RNA (66 nucleotides) under Lineus viridis. RNAcentral describes it as "tRNA-Tyr". Lineage: Eukaryota; Metazoa; Nemertea; Pilidiophora; Heteronemertea; Lineidae. The record is from RNAcentral.